AUUGAACGCUGGCGGCAUGCCUUACACAUGCAAGUCGAACGGUAACGGGCCUUCGGGCGCCGACGAGUGGCGAACGGGUGAGUAAUAUAUCGGAACGUACCUUUCAGUGGGGGAUAACGUAGCGAAAGUUACGCUAAUACCGCAUAUUCUGUGAGCAGGAAAGCAGGGGAUCGCAAGACCUUGCGCUGAUUGAGCGGCCGAUAUCAGAUUAGCUAGUUGGUGAGGUAAAGGCUCACCAAGGCGACGAUCUGUAGCGGGUCUGAGAGGAUGAUCCGCCACACUGGAACUGAGACACGGUCCAGACUCCUACGGGAGGCAGCAGUGGGGAAUUUUGGACAAUGGGCGCAAGCCUGAUCCAGCCAUGCCGCGUGAGUGAAGAAGGCCUCGGUUGUAAG
This 395-nucleotide ribosomal RNA is filed under the name uncultured bacterium. RNAcentral describes it as "bacterial SSU rRNA". It matches the Rfam family "Bacterial small subunit ribosomal RNA", at positions 30 to 429 of the family's 1533-position model. The record is from RNAcentral.